RNAcentral lists this ribosomal RNA (445 nucleotides) under uncultured bacterium. RNAcentral's name for it is "bacterial SSU rRNA". It matches the Rfam family "Bacterial small subunit ribosomal RNA", at positions 29 to 506 of the family's 1533-position model. The record is from RNAcentral.
ACGAACGCUGGCGGCAUGCCUAACACAUGCAAGUCGAACGAGGAUCCAGAGCUUGCUUUGGAUCCUAGUGGCGAACGGGUGAGUAACGCGUGGGAACCUACCCUGGAGCGGGGAAUAACUGCUGGAAACGGCGGCUAAUACCGCAUGCGCCCCAAGGGGGAAAGGCUUCGGCCACUCUGGGAUGGUCCCGCGUCCUAUUAGCUAGUUGGUGAGGUAACGGCUCACCAAGGCGACGAUAGGUAGCUGGUCUGAGAGGAUGAUCAGCCACACUGGGACUGAGACACGGCCCAGACUCCUACGGGAGGCAGCAGUGGGGAAUAUUGGACAAUGGGGGAAACCCUGAUCCAGCAAUGCCGCGUGAGUGAAGAAGGCCUUAGGGUUGUAAAGCUCUUUCAAUUGUGAAGAUGAUGACGGUAACAGUAGAAGAAGCUCCGGCUAACUCCGU